UCCGGCUUGUCACCGGCAGUUUCUUCAGAGUGCCCAGCAUCACCUGAUGGCAACUGAAGAUGGGGGUUGCGCUCGUUGCGGGACUUAACCCAACAUCUCACGACACGAGCUGACGACAGCCAUGCAGCACCUGUGUUCCGAUUCCCUUUCGGGCACGCCCACCUCUCAGCGGGCUUCCGGACAUGUCAAGGGUAGGUAAGGUUGUUCGCGUUGCAUCGAAUUAAUCCACAUCAUCCACCGCUUGUGCGGGUCCCCGUCAAUUCCUUUGAGCUUUAACCUUGCGGCCGUACUCCCCAGGCGGUCAACUUCACGCGUUAGCUACGGUACCCAGGAAUCGCUUCCCGAACACCUAGUUGACAUCGUUUAGGGCGUGGACUAC
RNAcentral lists this unclassified non-coding RNA (379 nucleotides) under uncultured Gammaproteobacteria bacterium. RNAcentral's name for it is "contains 16S-23S intergenic spacer region". Lineage: Bacteria; Pseudomonadati; Pseudomonadota; Gammaproteobacteria. The record is from RNAcentral.